AUGAGGUAUCUGAUGCUUGGUCUCUUUCAAUGGCCUUGUUUCUCGUUAGAUUGGCAGAGAGCGAGAAGGAAACGGGUUUUUGCGACACGGGCUGCUCCCAUACCCGGAGCUUCCUGUUACUAUACCCCCGUUUACAUUUACUCAUUUUCUAAUAUUGUUUGUUGUUUGUUCUUGGUGAUGAUCAAAACUGA
RNAcentral lists this ribosomal RNA (191 nucleotides) under Triticum aestivum (bread wheat). RNAcentral describes it as "partial small subunit ribosomal RNA". The stretch from base 1 to 139 matches the Rfam family "Small nucleolar RNA F1/F2/snoR5a". Rfam says of the family: This family contains F1, F2 and snoR5a sequences, all of which are members of the the H/ACA class of snoRNA that guide the sites of modification of uridines to pseudouridines. Lineage: Eukaryota; Viridiplantae; Streptophyta; Magnoliopsida; Poales; Poaceae. The record is from RNAcentral.